UGUACCAAAAGUAGAACUUUUUGGAAAAGAAAAGAGAGAGCAACCUAAAGAAAUUUUGGAAGAAAAAAAAACCCUAGCAAGUGCUGCCGCCGCCGUCCGCCGUCGCUGAGCGCCGCCUUCAGCCAGAAAACCGCGUCGGACGUCCCUGCAGAUCAGCCGACCCGCGUCGUCAGCCGCCCGAGUCCGGAAGCCGUGCACCGCGCCCCGUCGCACGACCCGUCGCAUCUCUGCCCCGCGCUCAAACGAACUCCUGUCGAGCGUCGCGUCUCCUCCGCCUGCACUCCGUCGCCCGAGCCGGAGACUCGACCCGCAUCACCCCUUCACGACCCGAGCCGCGCCUUCUGCCGCAGCCAAUCCACGUUUUCGACCCGAACAAGAGACGCGCGCCUUCGACCCAGAACCCGACCCCUGCAGCCGCUCCGCGCCGUUAAGCCGCGCCCGCGUGCACCCGCAAGCUGAGCCCCGCCUCCCUUCUACCACAAGCCGAGUCGCGCCUCCCUUCUACCGCAAGUCGAGCCGCACGCGCGCAGCACCUGCACUUGAGCCAAGUCGGGCCUGCGCACGAGCCGAGCGGUGCCUGCGCCCAAUCCGAGCGAUCCCUACUUUUCCAGCCGAGCCGCCAAGCCUUUUGAGCCACCUAAUUUUUGGUCAUUUCCCCAAGUGUCAGUGAUAAGUUUUUGGAACACCUUGGACCAAUUGACUUGGAGCGUUGGACUUCUUCAGCAAGGGCACAAGCGUUGCAACCUCAACCUAGGGACCACGCUGCUUGGAAAGCACAUUGUCUGGCUGUUAGGACUCGUCGAGCAAAUCUCCAGGUAUAAAUCAAGUUCUCGGUGUUUGAUAUACUAUCAUAGUCUACUAGAAGCUCCCGAUUUAUUUUCAGUAUGUGGGUGGAGUGUACAUCGUCGCUGUAUAGCCAUAUAAGUUUGGAUUUUGUAAGCACUAAGUAAAGUGCGGGUAGUGAG
Cucumis melo (muskmelon) is the source of this 965-nucleotide long non-coding RNA. RefSeq lists it as uncharacterized. The transcript is spliced from 4 exons. The record is from RefSeq and is a predicted model, not a curated record. NCBI's taxonomy places the organism in Eukaryota, Viridiplantae, Streptophyta, Magnoliopsida, Cucurbitales, Cucurbitaceae.